This 388-nucleotide ribosomal RNA is filed under the name uncultured bacterium. Its description in RNAcentral is "bacterial SSU rRNA". It matches the Rfam family "Bacterial small subunit ribosomal RNA", at positions 27 to 417 of the family's 1533-position model. The record is from RNAcentral.
GAUUGAACGCUGGCGGCAUGCCUUACACAUGCAAGUCGAACGGCAGCACGGGGGCGAACCCUGGUGGCGAGUGGCGAACGGGUGAGUAACACAUCGGAACGUGCCCAGUAGUGGGGGAUAGCUCGGCGAAAGCCGGAUUAAUACCGCAUACGACCUACGGGUGAAAGCGGGGGAUCGCAAGACCUCGCGCUAUCGGAGCGGCCGAUGUCAGAUUAGGUUGUUGGUGGGGUAAAGGCCACCAAGCCGACGAUCUGUAGCUGGUCUGAGAGGACGACCAGCCACACUGGGACUGAGACACGGCCCAGACUCCUACGGGAGGCAGCAGUGGGGAAUUUUGGACAAUGGGCGCAAGCCUGAUCCAGCCAUGCCGCGUGCGGGAAGAAGGCCU